This 378-nucleotide unclassified non-coding RNA is filed under the name Hevea brasiliensis (rubber tree). Lineage: Eukaryota; Viridiplantae; Streptophyta; Magnoliopsida; Malpighiales; Euphorbiaceae. The record is from RNAcentral.
CAGAUAUCUUGUUUAUGCAAUCUCUAGAAAUUAAUGUAAUUAUGGGAAAAUAAAUAAAAUUCUUCAAGCCCAUUUGGCCAGUACACACAUACAACCAGCUCCUAAGAAAAGACAAACAUUAGCUCCGAAUUGAAUCCUGAAAUUGCUUUGCAAUCUUGGGUUCAUGAAAUCUGCAGCUAGAAGAUCAACAAGUGACAUAUAGAUCAAAAUCCCAGCAGAGGCUGAGUUGAACAUUCCCUCAACAAUUAGUGCUGUGGGACUAUUCUCCUUGUAAACACUUGAUAUGGCUAUUCCAAUUGCAAUCCCUAGUGGAGUUGUGAGAGAGAAAAAUGUUGCCAUAAUUGUUGUAGAUUUGGAUUUGAAUUUUGCCUCAGAUAU